UGGGGAAUUUUGGACAAUGGGGGAAACCCUGAUCCAGCCAUCCCGCGUGUGCGAUGAAGGCCUUCGGGUUGUAAAGCACUUUUGGCAGGAAAGAAACGUCGCGGGUUAAUACCCCGCGAAACUGACGGUACCUGCAGAAUAAGCACCGGCUAACUACGUGCCAGCAGCCGCGGUAAUACGUAGGGUGCAAGCGUUAAUCGGAAUUACUGGGCGUAAAGCGUGCGCAGGCGGUUCGGAAAGAAAGAUGUGAAAUCCCAGAGCUUAACUUUGGAACUGCAUUUUUAACUACCGGGCUAGAGUGUGUCAGAGGGAGGUGGAAUUCCGCGUGUAGCAGUGAAAUGCGUAGAUAUGCGGAGGAACACCGAUGGCGAAGGCAGCCUCCUGGGAUAACACUGACGCUCAUGCACGAAAGCGUGGGGAGCAAACAGGAUUAGAUACCCUGGUAGUCCACGCCCUAAACGAUGUCAACUAGCUGUUGGGGGCCUUCGGGCCUUGGUAGCGCAGCUAACGCGUGAAGUUGACCGCCUGGGGAGUACGGUCGCAAGAUUAAAACUUAAAUGAAUUGACGGGGGUCAUAGCUG
Molecule: ribosomal RNA, 581 nt
Filed under: uncultured bacterium
Lineage: Bacteria
Description: partial 16S ribosomal RNA
Rfam family: Bacterial small subunit ribosomal RNA
Source: RNAcentral